UGGGAUGUAGCUCAGUGGUACAGCACUUGCCCAGCCUGUGCAAGGCCCUGGGUUUGAUCCCCAACACCUCGA
RNAcentral lists this transfer RNA (72 nucleotides) under Marmota monax (woodchuck). Its description in RNAcentral is "tRNA.Undet". Lineage: Eukaryota; Metazoa; Chordata; Mammalia; Rodentia; Sciuridae. The record is from RNAcentral.